Molecule: non-coding RNA, 2061 nt
Organism: Sus scrofa (pig)
Lineage: Eukaryota; Metazoa; Chordata; Mammalia; Artiodactyla; Suidae
Source: RefSeq, a predicted model, not a curated record
UCCAAAAUAGGGCUCACUAGUCUAAAAUCAUGGUUAUCAGCAGAGCCGUGUUUCUUUCUGAAGGCCUCAUGGGGGAAUCUUGUUUUCUUCCUUUUUCCAGCUCAUAGAAGCCUCUGGCCUUCUUUGACUAAUAGCAUCCUUUCUCCAUAUUUGGAACCACCAGCAUCAGGGUGAGUCUUUCUGAUUCUCCCUCUUCUACAUCUCUUAAAUUUACGAGGACCCUUAUGAUUACACUGGGUCCCACCAGAUAAUCCAAGCUAAUCUCAUGAUUUUGUGAUUAGUUGAUGUGCAGCUUCAAUUUGAUCUGCAAACUUAAUGACAUUUUGUCGUGGAAGGUAACUCAUUCACAGGUUUUAGGGGUUAGGAUAUGGCUCAUCUUGAGGGUGGAAGGGAGGAUUUUCCUGCCUACCACAAAUUUCGGAAAUAAAAUAUGGGUAGAAGACAAUAAAGAGUGAUGUGUAUUGUACAACACUAUAUAUUGCUGUAACACUAUAUGUUUGCUUUUUUUGUAAAUCACCGAGAUUUAUUGUCUCACAGUUAUGGAGGAUAGAAGUAUAAAGUCAAAGUGUUUGCAGAACCGGUUCCUUCAGAGAGCUGCACAGUUGAAUCUAUUUCGUUUCUCUCGCUUAGCUUCUGGUAACCUCAGGUAUUCCUUAGUUUAUAUGUUUUGAUUUGUUUUUAAAUGCUACUGCUACAUAUUGCUUAUGGGUAUGUACAUAUGUAUUAAAAGUAUAAAAACAUGUAUGUGAAAGAUAAACACAAAUUUUAGAUGAAAAACUGCCUCAGGAGAAAGGCAGAUUGGCAGAGGACUCUACAGGCAUUUUAAUUACUUAGCAGUGUUUGAAAGAAAAAAACAGUGAGAAAAUGAGAUAUAGAGUGAAUAUAUCAAAACUAGAUUGGCGAAAGAUUGAUAAUGCAAACAUGGAUGUUUACUUUGUUUUUCUCUAUGCUUUCUGUAUUUUUGAAAUAAUUCAUCAUUUAAAAGAAAAUAAUUAUGUGCAACCCCAUGACACUGUCUCAUUCAGAUGCCCUGUGAAUUGACCAAUCCCAGGGAGAUUUUAUAUCAAGGAACUUGACUCCUUUAUGCCCCAUGGUCUAACAGAAAACACACAGGACUGUGUCCAAGCCCCAGGGACUCCUACUAACUACACGGCCACAGACAAGUCCCUUCACCUCUUGCUUUUCUGUUGCAGGUAGGUUUAAGGGUCAGAAGAGACGAUACCUAAGAAAGUCCUGUGAAAAUGUUUAAACUAGCGGCCACCGUAGAAAAAUUACGACAAGAGAACAAGUGACAAGAAAACAUUUUCAAGCACAAAAUAUAUUAUGUUAAAAUAAAAUUCUAUGGGGAAAGCAGAGUGGAAAUAUUGAUUCAGAGAGAUAAAAGAACAAUGCAAAACUCUUGUCUGUUUAAAAAGAGCUCAUCCAAGAGCUUUUUUAUGAAGGCAGAACCACCUAAGCCUUUGAGAGAAGAGAAGACUGACAGCAGCCUCCUCUGGUCCUGAGGACACAUCUUCUCCACAGGGAUCUUGCGCUGCUGUCAACACCCAGCACCCAGCAAGCCAAGAGCCCACCCACAGCUGCUCUCUCAGGCAAAGGACUGCAACCCAGAUCUGGCCCAAUAUGAAAUGAAUUGAGGGGAAGCUGCAGAACUGGAGAGAGGGCUGGCAGAGAGCAGAGCAUUUCUACAUGGAGAGCAGCUACAGAGCAUCACUAAGGUCAACACAUUACUUACUUCCAUGUUAUUGCCAUCAACACAGUUAUUGGGACCUGCAUUCUUAUGAUACAAAGAAAACUGUAACUAUCAAGUUUCAAAGUAAAGAUUAACAGACUCAAAACCAAGAAAACCUUCAGUGUUUUAAGAAUGCAAUGUUUUGCUGACAUAUUCAAAGAAGAUAAUCAGAAGAUAAAUGUCUAACAUAUUCAAAGAAGAUAAAUGUCUGCAGUUGCUGCCGCGAUGGGUGCAGAAUGCUCUGUGGAUCUUUGUACUCUGGGAUUCAUCACAGCUGCAUACACGUCAUUAGACAUUUAAGACUAUUUUAUUUUAUUUGUCUUUUUGCCAUU